RNAcentral lists this long non-coding RNA (266 nucleotides) under Marmota monax (woodchuck). The record is from RNAcentral. Lineage: Eukaryota; Metazoa; Chordata; Mammalia; Rodentia; Sciuridae.
GGCUGGGGCUGUUCUCUCCUCCCAGGGCCGGAGGCCGCUCCCUCUGCGCCUCUUGCCUUCGCCUCUGGGGGGACAUACCCAGCCAGGAAGGAAGGGGCUCCGCGCAGCAGCGGGCCUGUGGGGGUAAACUGAGGCACGCGGCAGGGCGCCCCACAACCAGGUGUCGAGCGCGGGGCCCCACCUCCGAAGGCGGAGGAGGGGCCGCGGGCGGUGACGCGCCGAGGGCGGCCGGCGGGCAGCGAGCGGGCGGGCGGGCGGCAGGAGCG